Molecule: ribosomal RNA, 253 nt
Filed under: uncultured bacterium
Lineage: Bacteria
Description: partial 16S ribosomal RNA
Rfam family: Bacterial small subunit ribosomal RNA
Source: RNAcentral
UACGUAGGUGGCAAGCGUUGUCCGGAUUUACUGGGCGUAAAGGGCGUGCAGGCGGUCUGUUAAGUUCAGGGUGAAAGCUCCCGGCUCAACUGGGAGAGGUCCUUGGAUACUGGCAGACUUGAGGGAGGUAGAGGAGAGUGGAAUUCCGGGUGUAGUGGUGAUAUGCGUAGAUAUCGGGAGGAACACCAGUGGCGAAGGCGGCUCUCUGGGCCUUUCCUGACGCUGAGACGCGAAAGCGUGGGGAGCGAACCGG